RNAcentral lists this ribosomal RNA (491 nucleotides) under uncultured bacterium. RNAcentral describes it as "partial 16S ribosomal RNA". It matches the Rfam family "Bacterial small subunit ribosomal RNA", at positions 29 to 507 of the family's 1533-position model. The record is from RNAcentral.
GUGAACGCUGGCGGUAGGCCUAACACAUGCAAGUCGAACGGCAGCACAGUAAGAGCUUGCUCUUACGGGUGGCGAGUGGCGGACGGGUGAGGAAUACAUCGGAAUCUACUUUUUCGUGGGGGAUAAUGUAGGGAAACUUACGCUAAUACCGCAUACGACCUACGGGUGAAAGCAGGGGAUCUUCGGACCUUGCGCGAUUGAAUGAGCCGAUGUCGGAUUAGCUAGUUGGCGGGGUAAAGGCCCACCAAGGCGACGAUCCGUAGCUGGUCUGAGAGGAUGAUCAGCCACACUGGAACUGAGGCACGGUCCAGACUCCUACGGGAGGCAGCAGUGGGGAAUAUUGGACAAUGGGCGCAAGCCUGAUCCAGCCAUACCGCGUGGGUGAAGAAGGCCUUCGGGUUGUAAAGCCCUUUUGUUGGGAAAGAAAAGCAGCAGGUUAAUACCCCGCUGUUCUGACGGUACCCAAAGAAUAAGCACCGGCUAACUUCGUG